ACCUUCGUAGCGCAGGGGCACAAGCGUGUCAUCGAAACGCGAGGGUUGUGGGUUCGAUUCCCAUUCGGAGGUA
RNAcentral lists this transfer RNA (73 nucleotides) under Heliconius melpomene (postman butterfly). Its description in RNAcentral is "tRNA HMEL005853". It matches the Rfam family "tRNA". From Rfam's summary of the family: Transfer RNA (tRNA) molecules are approximately 80 nucleotides in length. The record is from RNAcentral. Lineage: Eukaryota; Metazoa; Arthropoda; Insecta; Lepidoptera; Nymphalidae.